Alligator sinensis (Chinese alligator) is the source of this 505-nucleotide long non-coding RNA. RefSeq lists it as uncharacterized. The record is from RefSeq and is a predicted model, not a curated record. The transcript is spliced from 3 exons. NCBI's taxonomy places the organism in Eukaryota, Metazoa, Chordata, Crocodylia, Alligatoridae.
CUGCCGCCACUCACUCCCCCCCAGAGUCCCCCCAGCCCUGCUGGUGCCACUGGUUCUGCUGCUAGAAGUAGGGUUUCAAUUUCUAUAGCAGUGUCUCUUUGGAGUUGGAAGCGUCUCUGGGUCGGCGUUCUCUUCUUCCUCUGCCAGCAUGUCUGGGUCAGCGUCUUCUUCUUUCCCCACUGGUGUCCUCUCCUCCCGCCAUUCGCCACUGGCCAGCUAUUUUCCCGGGUGCUAUUUGAGCAGCCUGCGGUUUCUGGAGGCUCUGCCCACGUCCCUCACUGAUCCGCAGCUGUAGGCAGCUCCUGAAUUGCAGGGCCAACAUCCGUGAUUCCUCCUGGCUGCCGCUUUUCAGGAUCCCUGUGUUUCAGCUUUACAACGCUUGAUCAGAUGCAACGCCAUGUCAGCGAAGAAGUUCGCUGUGUCGCUCAUCUCCCUGGAGAACAUCUGUCCAAACUUCCUUGGACACUUUCUUUAAGAAAGUGGACAAGACUCCAGAAAAACCUGC